This 253-nucleotide unclassified non-coding RNA is filed under the name uncultured Chloroflexota bacterium. RNAcentral's name for it is "uncultured Chloroflexi bacterium contains 16S-23S intergenic spacer region". It matches the Rfam family "Bacterial small subunit ribosomal RNA", at positions 524 to 776 of the family's 1533-position model. The record is from RNAcentral. Lineage: Bacteria; Bacillati; Chloroflexota.
UACGUAGGUGGCAAGCGUUGUCCGGAAUUAUUGGGCGUAAGGCGCUCGCAGGUGGUUCGAUGCGUCGUGCGUGAAAGACCCCGGCUCAACUGGGGAGGGUCGUGCGAUACGGUCGAACUGGAGGCCAGUAGGGGGAUGCGGAAUUCCGGGUGUAGUGGUGGAAUGCGUAGAGAUCCGGAGGAACACCAGCGGCGAAGGCGGCAUCCUGGACUGGUCCUGCCACUCAGGAGCGAAAGCGUGGGGAGCGAUCCGG